Rhopalosiphum padi (bird cherry-oat aphid) is the source of this 541-nucleotide long non-coding RNA. RefSeq lists it as uncharacterized. NCBI's taxonomy places the organism in Eukaryota, Metazoa, Arthropoda, Insecta, Hemiptera, Aphididae. The record is from RefSeq and is a predicted model, not a curated record. The transcript is spliced from 2 exons.
CGGAAGUAGACUGUACAUUAUAUAUUAUUUACCAUUGUGCGACUAACGGCAGCGGCGACAAACUGCAGAAGCCGAUGAUGUAUACGUGCGACUCGCUGUUAGGGGAACUGACGUUUUCACACAUUCAGAUUUUGCAAGCCGUCCCGUCUUCAUUUCGAUCCAAUCCAACUUCGUUAAAAUCACCUGUUCAACUCGACAUCUCAACUGCAAUCAAGCCACGUCUACCAAACUUACUUACAUUCAACGCCUACAUUCCAAUGAUGACAAACCGACUUUCAUCGCUCUCCUAAGACUUGAGUUUAAACACAGCAACUACGCAACUCAAGCUGAGAACGUCCAAAAAACAGGUCAUUUUUUUUCUUUUUCCAAGAGGAAGUAAUGUGGCGAUAUAGAGUCUUUUCAUCGUUACCAUUUAUACAGCGUGAAUUAUACCUAUCUUGUUUUAUCUUCGUGUAAUUAUUAUUUUAUCUUGUCUACUACUUUUGUGAUUUUUAUACAGUGUAUUACGAAGUUUUGACAAAUUAAAUAACGUGUGAACUAA